AGUGAACGCUGGCGGUAGGCCUAACACAUGCAAGUCGAACGGCAGCACAGGAGAGCUUGCUCUCUGGGUGGCGAGUGGCGGACGGGUGAGGAAUACAUCGGAAUCUACUCUGUCGUGGGGGAUAACGUAGGGAAACUUACGCUAAUACUGCAUACGACCUACGGGUGAAAGCAGGGGACCUUCGGGCCUUGCGCGAUUGAAUGAGCCGAUGUCGGAUUAGCUAGUUGGCGGGGUAAAGGCCUACCAAGGCGACGAUCCGUAGCUGGUCUGAGAGGAUGAUCAGCCACACUGGAACUGAGACACGGUCCAGACUCCUACGGGAGGCAGCAGUGGGGAAUAUUGGACAAUGGGCGCAAGCCUGAUCCAGCCAUACCGCGUGGGUGAAGAAGGCCUUCGGGUUGUAAAGCCCUUUUGUUGGGAAAGAAAUCCAGCUGGCUAAUACCCGGUUGGGAUGACGGUACCCAAAGAAUAAGCACCGGCUAACUUCGUGCCAGCCGCCGCGGUAA
RNAcentral lists this ribosomal RNA (506 nucleotides) under uncultured bacterium. Its description in RNAcentral is "partial 16S ribosomal RNA". It matches the Rfam family "Bacterial small subunit ribosomal RNA", at positions 29 to 523 of the family's 1533-position model. The record is from RNAcentral.